Molecule: ribosomal RNA, 256 nt
Filed under: uncultured bacterium
Lineage: Bacteria
Description: partial 16S ribosomal RNA
Rfam family: Bacterial small subunit ribosomal RNA
Source: RNAcentral
UACGGAGGGGGCUAGCGUUGUUCGGAAUUACUGGGCGUAAAGCGUGCGCAGGCGGUUUUGUAAGUCAGAUGUGAAAUCCCCGGGCUUAACCUGGGAACUGCGUUUUGAAACUACAAGGCUAGAGUGUGGCAGAGGGGGGGUAGAAUUCCACGUGUAGCAGUGAAAUGCGUAGAGAUGUGGAGGAACACCGAUGGCGAAGGCAGCCCCCCUGGGUCAAGAUUGACGCUCAUGCACGAAAGCGUGGGGAGCAAACAGG